GGUGAGAUGGCCGAGCGGUCUAAGGCGCCAGAUUUAGGCUCUGGUCAGAAAUGGCGUGGGUUCGAAUCCCACUCUCAUCA
Molecule: transfer RNA, 80 nt
Organism: Absidia repens
Lineage: Eukaryota; Fungi; Mucoromycota; Mucoromycetes; Mucorales; Cunninghamellaceae
Rfam family: tRNA
About the family: Transfer RNA (tRNA) molecules are approximately 80 nucleotides in length.
Source: Rfam